UUUUUAAAAAGUUUAAGCGGCGGACGGGUGAGUAACACGUGGGCAACCUGCCCUGUAGACUGGGAUAACCUCGGGAAACCGAAGCUAAUACCGGAUAAUCAAUUGAAGCACCUACUUCUAUUGUAAAAGUUGGGAUACUAACACUACAGGAUGGGCCCGUGGCGCAUUAGCUAGUUGGUAAGGUAAUGGCUUACCAAGGCGACGAUGCGUAGCCGACCUGAGAGGGUGACCGGCCACACUGGGACCGAGACACGGCCCAGACUCCUACGGGAGGCAGCAGUAGGGAAUCUUCCGCAAUGGACGAAAGUCUGACGGAGCAACGCCGCGUGAACGAUGAAGGCCUUCGGGUCGUAAAGUUCUGUUGUUAGGGAAGAACAAGUACCGUUCGAAUAGGGCGGUACCUUGACGGUACCUAACCAGAAAGCCACGGCUAACUACGUG
RNAcentral lists this ribosomal RNA (441 nucleotides) under uncultured bacterium. Its description in RNAcentral is "bacterial SSU rRNA". It matches the Rfam family "Bacterial small subunit ribosomal RNA", at positions 76 to 507 of the family's 1533-position model. The record is from RNAcentral.